UCAGCCGAAACAUAUUAUUAAAUCUAGGCUGAAAUCCGGACAGAAACCAUUCAGUAGUCUGAAUCAGCUUUCGUAUGGCUGACAUGGGUUUAAUUUAGUAUACUAGUAUAUAUACGUUUACUUGAUUUUAUUUGCGAAGGCGAACCCAAUUCAAUUUUGAGUCGAGAAUCGUAUAUGAUCCCAGUCAUAGGAAAAAGGAAAAAAAAUUAAAACUUAAAAUAGUAUAUAAAAUACAACAAUCAUGAUUCAUAGUCGGUUUACGAAGGAGAAUUAGUAACUUCGUAGUUGUUUUUUUUGGAAUUGAUUAUCAGAUAAGUAUAUUAUAUUAUUGGAAAUAAGCUGUUUUCUUUGUGUAUAUUUUCAGCAACUACAUUGACAGAACCAUACUGGAUUGAUGCUAUAUUUUCUAAUCUUCAGCAUAAUGGGGUAUAUCAGCGCAGUAGUUCGAUAAAAAACCAGUGCUUGGUUAUUGAUUUAAGAGUUCACUCUACAUAAGUGUUGUCAAAACACCGACACCAUGUUCCAUUGAUUGGAACUGCAAUAAAAAAGUGCAAUUUCGGGGCAGAGAUUUGGCACCGAAAAAUUUGUCGGUGGAGCCAGUGCACUCACCAACACAGACCAACACCAAUCACGCAAACGUCAAAGCAACGUUCAAAAUGGAUGCCAAAACAAAUCGGUUAUCGCAGAAAACGACAGGGAUAGUACCCUUCUGCCGGAAUCGCAUUUGGUACUCAAUGGUUUACCAGCUUUCGACUUCAAUUCUGUCGACUAGAGGUAUGCGUUUUAUUGAUUAGUAGCUCCCAUUUUCCCGGGCGCGAUCUCGAUGGGUCCCGCCGAGGUGGCAGAAAACAGUAACGAACUGAUCCAUACGUAGGAGUAAAAUGUUCCAAAGGUGGCCUGGAAUUCUACUGGGCUGGAAUUUCCCCAAAAAGCGGUUCCGAAGCGGCGAUCAUCUCCAGAGCCACCAUCACUUCCACGUAAAGAAGCAAUUCAGUGUGAACCAUAAAAGGGAACCGUCGAACAACAGACGAAACCGUUGCCCGUUAUCACUAUCAACGAAAAGGAUUACCAGGUUCUGUAAAAGCUCGGUUCCGGUGGAUCCAGUUCAGUGUUUUCGGCCAAACAAAUGAGGAAUGGCGUUGAAUGUGCGUUGAAGUUGGUGGAUUUCGAAGGCGAUUCUAGCAUAGUAGAAGGCUACUUAAACAAAACGAAACAUAGCGAAAUUGCAAGGGAAUGAAAACGUAGUAGCGCUGUAUGACUAUUGUCAUGUUGCGGAGUCUAGCCAACUUUACCUGGUAAUGGAAAAGGGUGAUAAUGAUCUGCACAAAAUCCUGCAAAGCUACCGCAAGGAUAUCCCGCUGUACAUGCUUAUGCAAAUUUGGUACCAGAUAGUACAGUGUGUGCACUACAUUCACGAGCAAGGUGUCAUCUAUCUGGAUCUCAAACCGGCCAACUUUCUUAUGGUAAACUGAUUGACUUUGGCAUCGCCAGCAAUAUCUCCUUCGACUCCACCAGUAUUAUGAAGUUUUGCCAAGCGGGCACAUUCAACUACAUCAGCCCGGAAACUUUGACACUUCCGCGGAGAACGGUUCAGCCAACUCCCAGCCCAAGAUCCGCAAGUCAAAAUGCUGCAGCGAUGUCUCAAGUACGAUCGAAAGACGAGAGCUCCGACGGCGGAUUUGCUUGACUACCCGUUUGACAUGGUGAUUGGGAAAUAAAGAUGCUGUAGCAACUUUACAUAUGUUCAUAUUUCUCUGUCUUAAAGAACAGAA
Molecule: long non-coding RNA, 1772 nt
Organism: Topomyia yanbarensis
Lineage: Eukaryota; Metazoa; Arthropoda; Insecta; Diptera; Culicidae
Exons: 6
Source: RefSeq, a predicted model, not a curated record